UGUUAGUGGCACACGGGUGAGUAACACGUAGGAAUCUACCUUAUAGUACGGAAUAACAGUUGGAAACGACUGCUAAUACCGUAUACGCUCUUAGGAGGAAAGAAUUAUCGCUAUAAGAUGAGCCUGCGCUAGAUUAGAUAGUUGGUGGGGUAAUGGCCUACCAAGUCGAUGAUCUAUAGCUGGUCUGAGAGGACGAUCAGCCACACUGGGACUGAGACACGGCCCAGACUCC
This 232-nucleotide ribosomal RNA is filed under the name uncultured bacterium. RNAcentral's name for it is "partial 16S ribosomal RNA". It matches the Rfam family "Bacterial small subunit ribosomal RNA", at positions 90 to 339 of the family's 1533-position model. The record is from RNAcentral.